RNAcentral lists this long non-coding RNA (1649 nucleotides) under Sus scrofa (pig). RNAcentral's name for it is "lncRNA (ENSSSCG00040031032.1)". Lineage: Eukaryota; Metazoa; Chordata; Mammalia; Artiodactyla; Suidae. The record is from RNAcentral.
CAGCAGGAUCUCCUUGUAAAUCUAUUCUAGGUUGUGUCUGAUAAGCCCAAGCUCCCGAUCCCUCCCACUCCCUCCCCCUCCCAUCAUGCAACCACAAGUCUCUUCUCCAAGUCCAUGAUUUUUUUUUCUGAGGAGAUGUUCAUUUGUGCUGGAUAUUAGAUUCCAGUUAUGUGAUAUCAUAUGGUAUUUGUCUUUGUCUUUCUGGCUCAUUUCACUCAGUAUGAGAUUCUCUAGUUCCAUCCAUGUUGCUGCAAAUGGCAUUAUGUCAUCCUUUUUUAUGGCUGAGUAGUAUUCUAUUGUGUAUAUAUACCACAUCUUCCGAAUCCAAUCAUCUGUCGAUGGACAUUUGGAUUGUUUCCAUGUCCUAGCGAGACCAUACAUUCUAUUGCACAUUUUACUUUUCCAAAUCCCUCUUUCAACUUAGUAAAAUGGGUCCUAACUAAUAGUAACUAACAAGUGACUAUAAUUUAUUUUGUAUGAAGAUGGGUGACAAAUAUUCAUUCUUAUAAAAUACAACCAGGGCUAACCAUCGUAGGGUAAAAGUGAGUUAGUCUUUGGGUGAAAUGCUUAGGAUAAAGUCUUUAGUGAUUAAGCAUCAAAAACAACAGCACUCUUGAAGUUCCCACUGUGGUUCAGUGGGUUAAGAACCCAACGUGGUGUCUGUGAGGAAGCAGGUUUGAUCGCUGGCCUUGUUCAGUGGGUUAAGUAUCCCAUAUUGCCACAAGCUGCAGUGUAGGUGGCAGAUGUUGCUCAGAUCUGGCAUUGCUUUGUGUAGUCCUCAGGGGCAGCUCCAAUUCGACCUCGAGCCUAGGAACUUCCAUAUGCCACAGGUGUGGCUAUAAAAAGAAAAAGAAAACAACGACAACACUCUAGUGGAUAUCACCCUGUCCAUCACUGGUAACUGCAUCAUUUCAGAAACAGUGAAUGAAACUUGAAAAACAGAGUGACACAAACUGUGAAAUAAGCCAGAGUGUUACUACAGCAUCGGUUCUCACAAAGAUUUGUCUAGAGCUGCUGCAUAUGUCUUACUUGGACAUCUAAUAAGGCUCAGCCAGCAUGAUGUCACCAGUGCACUGGGCCAACCAGCCCUUCUGUGGGGUGGAAAGGUGAGCAAAGAAAAUGAAAAUGUAUUCCACUGUCUUCCAGCUCCCUUUAUUUCCAUCAAGAAAUCUGCUGUCAUAUCCUUUGUUGGUUAUUUUAGUUUUCACUUUCAUUCAGUUUUAAGUACUUUUCUUAAUCUUAUUCUACAGCUGUUAAUACAAUGUUUCUUGGCAGAUUUUUGGGUCAAUGUACUUAGGAUACAUUAUAGUUUCUGACCCCUAGUGAUGCUAUGGACAUUUGGCUUGGAACAGCUCAAUCUCUCCAAUUUCUUUUGUGUUCACUGUUUCAAGGUCUGGAUUUAGCUCAUUUUUUUUUUUUUCAGGGAGAAAGUAAAUCUUCAGAUAUUUUAUUUUAUGAGAAUCCACAAUGCAAUUAAACAUUUAUUAUAUACAGUAUCUAGUUAUAUUUUAGUGGGAGCCCUUCAAAAUGCUGCCCAUUGAAAAUAUUCAGCCCAGAAUAUUUACCAUAAAUUCCAUGUCUGAAAUAACUAUAUUGUUAACAUACUGGAAUGAUAUAAAAUAAUUUUAAAGAUUAUCAAAACACCUGGC